AUUGAUGCUAAAGAUGGAAAUUUAAAAAAAAACUUUUUUAAAAAUAAAAAUUGAAUUUUUUUUAAUUUGUGCAAAAACAAUUAUAUUUAUUAAAGACAAGAAGACCCUAAGAAUUUAAGAUUUUACAAUUAAAAAGUUUUUUUUUAAAAUCUUGGUUGGGGCCUUCAAAAAAUAUUAAUAACUUUUUAAAAUUUAAAUUGGUCUAUUAUUAAUAAACUAAUGGAUUAAAUACCCUAGGGAUAACAGUGUAAUAAUUUUUGAUAGAUCUUAUUGACCAAAUAGUUUGGCACCCCGAUGUUGGAUUAAGAUUCUUUUUUAAUGAAAAAAUUAAAAAAAAAAGUUUGGUCAACUUUUAAAUUCCUACUUGGUCUGAGUUCCAACCGGG
This 385-nucleotide ribosomal RNA is filed under the name Hyalomma turanicum. RNAcentral's name for it is "partial 16S ribosomal RNA". Lineage: Eukaryota; Metazoa; Arthropoda; Arachnida; Ixodida; Ixodidae. The record is from RNAcentral.